UAGCUUUGUCCUAAGUCAAACUUCUUCGAGUUUGACCAAGUUUAUACAAAAAUCCACUAAGAUCUACAGUAUCAAAUAAGUAUAGUAUGACAAUAUAUAAAUGGCAUAUUAAUAAAACUAAUUUGGAGUUGUAGAUGUUGAUAGAUUUUGCUAUAAACUUGGUCAAACUUGAAGAAAUUUGACUUAGGAUAAAGUCAA
This 198-nucleotide microRNA precursor is filed under the name Brachypodium distachyon (stiff brome). RNAcentral's name for it is "MIR1435 microRNA precursor family". It matches the Rfam family "MIR1435 microRNA precursor family". Lineage: Eukaryota; Viridiplantae; Streptophyta; Magnoliopsida; Poales; Poaceae. The record is from Rfam by way of RNAcentral.